CAGUCGCCGCGGUAAUACAGAGGGUGCGAGCGUUAAUCGGAUUUACUGGGCGUAAAGCGUGCGUAGGCGGCUUUUUAAGUCGGAUGUGAAAUCCCUGAGCUUAACUUAGGAAUUGCAUUCGAUACUGGGAAGCUAGAGUAUGGGAGAUGAUGGUAGAAUUCCAGGUGUAGCGGUGAAAUGCGUAGAGAUCUGGAGGAAUACCGAUGGCGAAGGCAGCCAUCUGGCCUAAUACUGACGCUGAGGUACGAAAGCAUGGGGAGCAAACAGGAUUAGAUACCCGCGUAGUCCCUGUCUCUUAUAC
Molecule: ribosomal RNA, 301 nt
Filed under: uncultured bacterium
Lineage: Bacteria
Description: partial 16S ribosomal RNA
Rfam family: Bacterial small subunit ribosomal RNA
Source: RNAcentral